UUAACUCAAAUUUGUAUGGACUUGGAACGUUUGCCUAUGUUUGCCGCUAGGGGCGCUGUUCCAACUGCAUUCAAAUUUGAGUUG
Bombyx mori (domestic silkworm) is the source of this 84-nucleotide non-coding RNA. The record is from Rfam. Lineage: Eukaryota; Metazoa; Arthropoda; Insecta; Lepidoptera; Bombycidae.